Molecule: long non-coding RNA, 1124 nt
Filed under: Cricetulus griseus (Chinese hamster)
Lineage: Eukaryota; Metazoa; Chordata; Mammalia; Rodentia; Cricetidae
Description: lncRNA (ENSCGRG00015039661.1)
Source: RNAcentral
CAGCCUGGGAUACAGGAGUCCCUGUCUCAAAGAAGAAAAACAACACGAAACUUUCAACAGUUCUAUGGAUGUAGCUUGGCAGUAAAACAUGUAUGGUCGGCAUUCACAAGGCCCUGGAUUCAAUCCCCCAGCACUACAUGAACAUAAACCUCUCUCAAGGCUAAGGGGCAAGAAAGGAAAAAUAACAAUAUGAUCCCUCUGGCAACUGAGAAGCAGAAAUCCAGAUGACAAAUGUCUAGCCAGCCUGAGAAAGCAGAGCCCAGUGCUAGGAGAAAAGCCAACAGCAGCACGAAAUGCGAUCUCAUUUCUCAGAAUCUGUUCGGGUAGCAGCUUGUGUUCUCCGUCUCCUCUGCUCAGCUGUCACCUCUCCUCUUUCACGCAGGUAGAAGGCUGGAAGGUUGAAAGGGCCUUCUCCAAAAGGGGUAGGAGAAGGCUGGUUGUCAAAGGCAGCCUAAUACUUGGUUACCUAAAACAAUGACCACUUUACUUCUGUCUCAUUAUAAUUCAUGACCUUGUGGGUCUGAAUUUGGACAGAACUGGGCUUGGCAUGCCCAACACUUUCCAUCCUUGUGGCAUCAAGGAAGGCUGAUUGGUGUAGCAGGCUAGCUGUAGUCACCAACCUAGAGAUUCAGUGUGUGUAGGGCAAUACGGCAAAGUAUGGAAGACUGCCCUCUGGUGGCAACAUCCUUCAGAGACCCUGCAUCUAUCAUCUCAACCCAAAGUCAGACUUGCUGUAGAAGUUCAGGCUUUCUAGAAAUAACACUGUAAGAGAUCUACCAACUAACUGUCUAGGUUCCAAGGAGCUCAGACAUGCCUGUUGUGAUCUAUAUACCCAGAGUCACUAAGGCUUCACGGUUCCACUUUAGUCUCCAUUGUAGUGUGUGUCUGCGUGGGUGUGAAUAUGUGACUAUGUUUAAUCUAGGGUGGGAGAUUUACACAAGCCUAGGGCUACUCUAAUUGACAUUAUGGUGGUAAAUAUUGAACUGCUCCUGUUCAGGUGCCUAGCAUUCUGGUUCAGGUAUUAUACCCACUGAGUAGGGAGGCUGGAGACUCUGGGGAAUCUAAGAACACAAACAUAAAGAGACUGUUAUCAGUUACUCAGAGCAACUGGAGGCAAUGCUAAG